UACGUAGGUGGCAGGCGUUGUCCGGAUUUAUUGGGUUUAAAGGGUGCGUAGGCGGCUUUGUAAGUCAGUGGUGAAAUACGGUAGCUCAACUAUCGAGGUGCCAUUGAUACUGCGGAGCUUGAGUACAGAUGAGGUAGGCGGAAUUGACGGUGUAGCGGUGAAAUGCUUAGAUAUGCCAUAGAACACCAAUUGCGAAGGCAGCUGGCUAGACCUGUAUUGACGCUGAGGCACGAAAGCGUGGGGAGCGAACAGG
This 253-nucleotide ribosomal RNA is filed under the name uncultured bacterium. RNAcentral describes it as "partial 16S ribosomal RNA". It matches the Rfam family "Bacterial small subunit ribosomal RNA", at positions 524 to 776 of the family's 1533-position model. The record is from RNAcentral.